AAGCUAACAGCUGACUGCUUCGCUCAGAACGCUUGAGAACAGCUGACGGUUGUUUCGCUGCGAACGCUUGAGAGCUAACAGCUGACGGUCGUUUCCGUAAAGAGGUAGAAAGAAAUUGACGAAUCUGGAAAUUGGUAAGGAAAACAAUAUUAAUAUAAAUUCACUAAAUAUAUAAUUCAAAAUACUACAUUCGGUUUUAUUAGAUCUCGGAGGGUUUCCCCCGUGAACAGCUAAAGCCCGAAAAAUAGCCGUUGACAGCUCGGAGCAUCGGUGAGGUUUUUUUUGGAGUUUGUACAGUACACUUUUGGCUUGGAGGGCCAAAGAUUCCAAGACCCUCUUCUCCUGAAACUGGAUGGCGAGCCCCAGCCCAGAGGACCAGGCGCAUGGGUAGAUAGUGACCCGACUGGUCACCAGCUGAGAGACUUUGAGACUGAAGAAUUAAUUCAUUGGAGACUGAAGUAUUCAAUUUAUUUAUUUAUUUAUUUUUUUUAAAAGCGCGCAGUAUUUGUUUGUCUGUUUUAAAUGUGGAUCCACAAUUGUUUAUUAUAUUAAAUAUUUGCUCUUUUCUUGUA
Xiphophorus couchianus (Monterrey platyfish) is the source of this 572-nucleotide long non-coding RNA. RefSeq lists it as uncharacterized. NCBI's taxonomy places the organism in Eukaryota, Metazoa, Chordata, Actinopteri, Cyprinodontiformes, Poeciliidae. The record is from RefSeq and is a predicted model, not a curated record. The transcript is spliced from 2 exons.